This 28-nucleotide non-coding RNA is filed under the name Rattus norvegicus (Norway rat). Lineage: Eukaryota; Metazoa; Chordata; Mammalia; Rodentia; Muridae. The record is from RNAcentral.
UGCCAAUUAUGUAUAGGCAUAAGAUGGU